UGUAGCAAACAGCAGGACGCUUGUGUGUGUAUUAAAUUUAUGUAGUAAAAGAUUAGAUUUUGAGUUAGGGAGGCAACUCCAUGCUCGUGUUGUAAAGGGUAAUUGGAGGAACUUAAUUCUGGAUAGUGCCGUUGUUUCUUUCUAUGCCCAAUGCGGUGAGUUAACAGGCGCAUGCAAUGCAUUUGAUCAGAUGGCGGAAAGGGAUGUGGUUUGUUGGACG
RNAcentral lists this unclassified non-coding RNA (220 nucleotides) under Hevea brasiliensis (rubber tree). The record is from RNAcentral. Lineage: Eukaryota; Viridiplantae; Streptophyta; Magnoliopsida; Malpighiales; Euphorbiaceae.